Molecule: ribosomal RNA, 253 nt
Filed under: uncultured bacterium
Lineage: Bacteria
Description: partial 16S ribosomal RNA
Rfam family: Bacterial small subunit ribosomal RNA
Source: RNAcentral
UACGUAGGGUGCGAGCGUUGUCCGGAAUUAUUGGGCGUAAAGGGCUCGUAGGCGGUUUGUCGCGUCGGGAGUGAAAACCCAGGGCUUAACUCUGGGCUUGCUUUCGAUACGGGCAGACUAGAGGUAUGCAGGGGAGAACGGAAUUCCUGGUGUAGCGGUGAAAUGCGCAGAUAUCAGGAGGAACACCGGUGGCGAAGGCGGUUCUCUGGGCAUUACCUGACGCUGAGACGCGAAAGCGUGGGGAGCAAACAGG